CAAUCUGAGGUCAGAGGAGACCAGAUCAUCACCUAAUACGUCAUUCAUCUUUAAAGCAGAUGGGCUGCAGAAAACCACACUCCUGCCACUUCAUUAGAUGUCCUGUGUACCUAAUAAAGUGGACGUUUGAAGCUGCAGAGAACCUGAUCAGUGUUUCUGGCGUGGAGAAAUCCGUUGCCCCUCACCACCACCUGGAACGUCUCUGUGACGAAAAGCAAAAGACACAAGGCGAUGUCAAAGGAAUGGGUUUUUUACAAGACACCAAAAGCAAAUUCUAGGUAAGUCCCAAAUAUUGAAUAUAUGAAAUAAUAAUUUAGAUAAGGUUCAGUGUGUGACAAUUAGGCACUUAAGGAAAGGGCUGUGCUUUACCAGCUUGUGCUGCUGCUAUGUUUCUACAGCAGUCAGAACACAAACCAAAAAAUAAGGAGGAGAAAAGCUGCAGAAAGAGUGGAGAGAGUUGUGAAGGAGUGUUUACAUCUUUUCUGGUAUGCAAAGGCCACCGUAGUUCCCUGAUAUGAUACGUUCU
Long non-coding RNA from Solea senegalensis (Senegalese sole), 526 nucleotides. RefSeq lists it as uncharacterized. The transcript has 3 exons. NCBI's taxonomy places the organism in Eukaryota, Metazoa, Chordata, Actinopteri, Pleuronectiformes, Soleidae. The record is from RefSeq and is a predicted model, not a curated record.